This 888-nucleotide ribosomal RNA is filed under the name uncultured bacterium. Its description in RNAcentral is "bacterial SSU rRNA". It matches the Rfam family "Bacterial small subunit ribosomal RNA", at positions 505 to 1397 of the family's 1533-position model. The record is from RNAcentral.
GUGCCAGCAGCCGCGGUAAUACGGAAGGUCCGGGCGUUAUCCGGAUUUAUUGGGUUUAAAGGGAGCGUAGGCCGUUCCUUAAGCGUGUUGUGAAAUGUAGGCGCCCAACGUCUGCACUGCAGCGCGAACUGGGGGACUUGAGUACGCAGGAAGCAGGCGGAAUUCGUCGUGUAGCGGUGAAAUGCUUAGAUAUGACGAAGAACUCCGAUUGGGAAGCCAGCCUGCUGUAGCGCCACUGACGCUGAUGCUCGAAAGCGUGGGUAUCGAACAGGAUUAGAUACCCUGGUAGUCCACGCGGUAAACGAUGGAUGCUCGCUGUAUGCCUUUGAGGUAUGUGGCCAAGGGAAACCAUUAAGCAUCCCACCUGGGGAGUACGCCGGCAACGGUGAAACUCAAAGGAAUUGACGGGGGCCCGCACAAGCGGAGGAACAUGUGGUUUAAUUCGAUGAUACGCGAGGAACCUUACCCGGGCUUGAACUGCAGGAGAACGAUACAGAGAUGUUGAGGCCCUUCGGGGCACCUGUGGAGGUGCUGCAUGGUUGUCGUCAGCUCGUGCCGUGAGGUGUCGGCUUAAGUGCCAUAACGAGCGCAACCCCUUUCGUUAGUUGCCAUCAGGUAAAGCUGGGCACUCUGGCGAUACUGCCACCGUAAGGUGUGAGGAAGGUGGGGAUGACGUCAAAUCAGCACGGCCCUUACGUCCGGGGCUACACACGUGUUACAAUGGCGCAUACAGAGAGUCGGUCCUAUGCAAAUAGGGUCUAAUCAAAAAAGUGCGUCGUAGUUCGGACUGGGGUCUGCAACCCGACCCCACGAAGCUCNAUUCGCUAGUAAUCGCGCAUCAGCCAUGGCGCGGUGAAUACGUUCCCGGGCCUUGUACACACCGCCCGU